AUCGCAGGUGAGGCUUCCCGUC
Molecule: unclassified non-coding RNA, 22 nt
Filed under: Mus musculus (house mouse)
Lineage: Eukaryota; Metazoa; Chordata; Mammalia; Rodentia; Muridae
Description: oocyte_clustered_small_RNA10999
Source: RNAcentral